Molecule: long non-coding RNA, 1219 nt
Filed under: Homo sapiens (human)
Lineage: Eukaryota; Metazoa; Chordata; Mammalia; Primates; Hominidae
Description: HSALNT0144748
Source: RNAcentral
GAUGCUAUUUCUAUAAGCAAAGAAGCGGACCUUUGCUGCACACAGUAUUUUUUUUUCUUUAGAAACAGGGUCUGAUUCUGUCUCCCAGACUGGAGUGCAAUGGCACGAUCAUAGCUCACUCAUUAUAACUUCAAAAUACUUGGCUCAAGUGAUCCUUCUGCCUCAGCUUCCCAAGUAGCCUGGACUACAGGCACGCACCACUGCAGCCGGUUGUUUUGUUUUUUGUAGAGACAGAGUCUCGCUUUGUUGCCUAUGCUGGCCUUGAAAUCCUAGCCUCAAGUGAUUCUCCUGCCUCGGCCUCCCAAAUAGCUGGGAUUAUAGUUGUGAGCCACCAUGCCUGGCAACACAGUAUUAGCUCCACUCCUACUCACUUCUGUGGCUGGAAGUCAACAAAAUUAACUUUGGAGAGAGCAGGGGGAAAGUGUAAAAACUGGCGCCACCCUGACGGUUGUCUUCAUGGAAAGGAUGUUGGCCACCUAGAGUGGAGUGAGAAGAGAGUCUAGGGUCCAAGUAACUCCCCUUUCUCCCUUGUCUCCAGGAUCUUAGACCACCUGUCCCAAAGUGCUGCCAGCUGUGGACCUCAGCGUUGCUCACAAGCCAGGUUCCCUCUCUGAGACCUGAUCAUGUGUGGCUGAACAUGGCGAAGGGAUCAGAGAGGUGAAGAACGCAGAACUAAUGUGUACUUGGAUGCUUGGUGGAGAGGAGACUGACCCACCGAAGCUGAGAUCACUUUGAGCUUGGGUUGCUGGAGGAUGUUGCAGCUCAGAGGCAGGUCCAGGAGCGCCAACCGGCCCAAUGGCUCCUAUGUCUCCCUGAGGGGUUGAGACCAGAGACAAGCAUCAGAUUAGGUUUCCCGACAGGGCUCUUGCACACACAGGACCCUCACGGCCAACCUUGCUCCAAUUCCCUAGAAGCAGCUGACUUCAUCUUUGCCAUUUCUGCAACGAGGCCACAUGUCCCACCCCUGGAGAGGAGGAAGCAUCUAAGUCAUCUCCCAACAUCACAAUUCCAGGAACCACGGACUUCUUGAGGAAAGCAAGUGCAUGAAAGCAUUGCACAUUCAUCCUUGGGAAUGGCCUGCCACUGAUCCCACCACCAGGGCCUCGGAAGGGGAAGUGGAAGUUCCAGGUUUGAACAGCAGCUCUGCCACUUCCCAGGAGCACACCAUUACUGUCUUUGGGCCUCAGGCUUCUCUUCCAUAAACAGGCACGUCAUCACG